RNAcentral lists this ribosomal RNA (1622 nucleotides) under Plasmodium knowlesi. RNAcentral's name for it is "SSU rRNA". It matches the Rfam family "Eukaryotic small subunit ribosomal RNA", at positions 61 to 1439 of the family's 1831-position model. Lineage: Eukaryota; Apicomplexa; Aconoidasida; Haemosporida; Plasmodiidae. The record is from RNAcentral.
AAGUAUAUGCAUAUUUUAUAUGUAGAAACUGCGAACGGCUCAUUAAAACAGUUAUAAUCUACUUGACAUUUUCUAUAUAAGGAUAACUACGGAAAAGCUGUAGCUAAUACUUGCUUUAGCACUCUUGAUUUAUUUCUUGAGUGUGUACUUGUUAAGCCUUAUAAGAAAAGAGUUAUUAACUUAAGGAAUUAUAACAAAGAAGUAACACGUAAUGGAUCAUUCCAUUUUUAGUGUGUAUCAAUCGAGUUUCUGACCUAUCAGCUUUUGAUGUUAGGGUAUUGGCCUAACAUGGCUAUGACGGGUAACGGGGAAUUAGAGUUCGAUUCCGGAGAGGGAGCCUGAGAAAUAGCUACCACAUCUAAGGAAGGCAGCAGGCGCGUAAAUUACCCAAUUCUAAAGAAGAGAGGUAGUGACAAGAAAUAACAAUACAAGGCCAAUCUGGCUUUGUAAUUGGAAUGAUGGGAAUUUAAAACCUUCCCAAAAUUCAAUUGGAGGGCAAGUCUGGUGCCAGCAGCCGCGGUAAUUCCAGCUCCAAUAGCGUAUAUUAAAAUUGUUGCAGUUAAAACGCUCGUAGUUGAAUUUCAAAGAAUCGAUAUUUUAAGUAACGCUUCUAGCUAUAAAUCCACAUAACUGAUGCCUCCGCGUAUCGACUUUGUGCGCAUUUUAGCUAUUAUGUGUUCUUUUAAUUAAAAUGAUUCUUUUUAAGAUUCAUCUAUUAAGAAUUUGCUUCGGCACAAUUUUUUUUGAUGAUCUUGUUACUUUGAGUAAAUUAGAGUGUUCAAAGCAAACAGAUAUAGCAUUUGUGCGUUUGAAUACUACAGCAUGGAAUAACAAAAUUGAACAAGUCAGAAUUUUUUUGUUCUUUUUUCUUAUUUUGGCUUAGUUACGAUUAAUAGGAGUAGCUUGGGGGCAUUUGUAUUCAGAUGUCAGAGGUGAAAUUCUUAGAUUUUCUGGAGACAAACAACUGCGAAAGCAUUUGCCUAAAAUACUUCCAUUAAUCAAGAACGAAAGUUAAGGGAGUGAAGACGAUCAGAUACCGUCGUAAUCUUAACCAUAAACUAUGCCGACUAGGCUUUGGAUGAAAGAUUUUAAAAUAAGAGUUUUUCUUUUCUCUCCGGAGAUUAGAACUCUUAGAUUGCUUCCUUCAGUGCCUUAUGAGAAAUCAAAGUCUUUGGGUUCUGGGGCGAGUAUUCGCGCAAGCGAGAAAGUUAAAAGAAUUGACGGAAGGGCACCACCAGGCGUGGAGCUUGCGGCUUAAUUUGACUCAACACGGGAAAACUCACUAGUUUAAGACAAGAGUAGGAUUGACAGAUUAAUAGCUCUUUCUUGAUUUCUUGGAUGGUGAUGCAUGGCCGUUUUUAGUUCGUGAAUAUGAUUUGUCUGGUUAAUUCCGAUAACGAACGAGAUCUUAACCUGCUAAUUAGCGGCAAAUACGAUAUAUUCUUAUGUAGAAUUGAAUAUAGUGGAUUUGUUGGAUUUUGAAGAAAAUAUUGGAAUUACGUUAAAUGUGAUUCCUUUCCCUUUUCUACUUAAUUUACAUUUCCAUCUAUUUCUUUUUUGCGUAUGAAUGUAUUUGCUUGAUUGUAAAGCUUCUUAGAGGAACGAUGUGUGUCUAACACAAG